Molecule: unclassified non-coding RNA, 329 nt
Filed under: soil metagenome
Description: partial contains 5.8S ribosomal RNA, internal transcribed spacer 2, and large subunit ribosomal RNA
Rfam family: 5.8S ribosomal RNA (bases 1-120)
Source: RNAcentral
GAUGAAGAACGCAGCGAAAUGCGAUAAGUAGUGUGAAUUGCAGAAUUCAGUGAAUCAUCGAAUCUUUGAACGCACAUUGCGCCCCUUGGUAUUCCGGGGGGCAUGCCUCUUCCAGCGUCAUUUCACCCCUCAAGCUCUGCUUGGUUUUGGGCCGCGCCGGCAACGGCGGGCCUCGAAAAUAGUGGCGACGCCAUCGUGCUCUCAGCGUAGUAAUUCUUCUCGCUGUUGGGUCCCGGUGGUCGUCCGCCAGCAACCCCCAACUUUCUUAAGUUUGACCUGGGAUGAGGUAGGGAUACCCGCUGAACUUAAGCAUAUCAAUAAGCGGAGGA